Molecule: unclassified non-coding RNA, 327 nt
Filed under: Hevea brasiliensis (rubber tree)
Lineage: Eukaryota; Viridiplantae; Streptophyta; Magnoliopsida; Malpighiales; Euphorbiaceae
Source: RNAcentral
GCCGCCCCUUUCCCGUCCCUCACGCCGCGCCUCCCGCGGCCGCUGACCGUCUGCCGAGCCUCCCCCGCCGCUUCUCCGGCCGCCGUCGGUCCCCGUGACCGCUUCCGGCUCGACAACUUGGGACCGCAGCCUGGAUCGAGGAAGCGGAACAAGAGGAAGGGGCGGGGGAUCGCCGCCGGCCAGGGGAACAGCUGCGGAUUUGGUAUGAGGGGGCAGAAGUCGAGGUCUGGGCCCGGUGUCCGACCGGGGUUUGAGGGUGGACAAAUGCCCCUCUACCGCCGCCUCCCUAAGCUCCGGGGUAUCGCAGGAGGUAUGAGUGCUGGGCUG